Molecule: non-coding RNA, 359 nt
Organism: Pseudomonas sp. 21C1
Lineage: Bacteria; Pseudomonadati; Pseudomonadota; Gammaproteobacteria; Pseudomonadales; Pseudomonadaceae
Rfam family: Bacterial RNase P class A
About the family: Ribonuclease P (RNase P) is a ubiquitous endoribonuclease, found in archaea, bacteria and eukarya as well as chloroplasts and mitochondria. Its best characterised activity is the generation of mature 5'-ends of tRNAs by cleaving the 5'-leader elements of precursor-tRNAs. Cellular RNase Ps are ribonucleoproteins.
Source: Rfam
AGAGUCGAUCGGACAGUCGCUGCCGCGUUUCGUUCUGCGAAAGGCGGGGGAGGAAAGUCCGGGCUCCAUAGGGCAGAGUGCCAGGUAACGCCUGGGAGGCGUGAGCCUACGGAAAGUGCCACAGAAAAUAACCGCCUAAGCGCUUCGGUGCCGGUAAGGGUGAAAAGGUGCGGUAAGAGCGCACCGCGCGUCUGGUAACAGUUCGUGGCUAGGCAAACCCCACUCGGAGCAAGACCAAAUAGGGUUCCAUUGGCGUGGCCCGCGCUGGAACCGGGUAGGUUGCUAAAGACGUGCAGUGAUGUACGUCGUAGAGGAAUGACUGUCCUCGACAGAACCCGGCUUACAGAUCGACUCUCCAC